This 421-nucleotide ribosomal RNA is filed under the name uncultured bacterium. RNAcentral's name for it is "partial 16S ribosomal RNA". It matches the Rfam family "Bacterial small subunit ribosomal RNA", at positions 359 to 774 of the family's 1533-position model. The record is from RNAcentral.
GUCUUCCACAAUGGACGAAAGUCUGCUGGAGCAACUCCGCGUGAGCGAAGAAGGUUUUCGGAUCGUAAAGCUCUGUUGUGAGGGAAGAAAAAGUACGGGCGUAACUGCCCGUACCUUUACGGUACUCCAUCAGAACGCCACGGCUAACUACGUGCCAGCAGCCGCGGUAAUACGUAGGUGGCAAGCGUUGUCCGGAAUUAUGUGGCGUAAAUCGCGCGCAGGAGGUCCCUUAAGUCUGAUGUGAAAGCCCACGGCUCAACCGUGGAGGGUCAUUGGAAACUGGGGGACUUGAGUACAGAAGAGGAAAGCGGAAUUCCACGUGUAGCGGUGAAAUGCGUAGAGAUGUGGAGGAACACCAGUGGCGAAGGCGGCUUUCUGGUCUGUAACUGACGCUGAGGCGCGAAAGCGUGGGGAGCAAACA